UACGUAGGGUGCGAGCGUUGUCCGGAAUUAUUGGGCGUAAAGGGCUCGUAGGCGGUUUGUCGCGUCGGGAGUGAAAUCCACUGGCUUAACUGGUGGCUUGCUUUCGAUACGGGCAGACUGGAGGUAUGCAGGGGAGAACGGAAUUCCUGGUGUAGCGGUGAAAUGCGCAGAUAUCAGGAGGAACACCGGUGGCGAAGGCGGGUCUCUGGGCAUUAACUGACGCUGAGGAGCGAAAGCAUGGGGAGCGAACAGG
RNAcentral lists this ribosomal RNA (253 nucleotides) under uncultured bacterium. RNAcentral describes it as "partial 16S ribosomal RNA". It matches the Rfam family "Bacterial small subunit ribosomal RNA", at positions 524 to 776 of the family's 1533-position model. The record is from RNAcentral.